AGAGUUUGAUCCUGGCUCAGACGAACGCUGGCGGCGUGCUUAACACAUGCAAGUCGAACGAUGAAGCCCUUCGGGGUGGAUUAGUGGCGAACGGGUGAGUAACACGUGGGCAAUCUGCCCUGCACUCUGGGACAAGCCCUGGAAACGGGGUCUAAUACCGGAUAACACCCCCUCUCGCAUGGGAGGGGGUUGAAAGCUCCGGCGGUGCAGGAUGAGCCCGCGGCCUAUCAGCUUGUUGGUGAGGUAGAAGCUCACCAAGGCGACGACGGGUAGCCGGCCUGAGAGGGCGACCGGCCACACUGGGACUGAGACACGGCCCAGACUCCUACGGGAGGCAGCAGUGGGGAAUAUUGCACAAUGGGCGAAAGCCUGAUGCAGCGACGCCGCGUGAGGGAUGACGGCCUUCGGGUUGUAAACCUCUUUCAGCAGGGAAGAAGCGAAAGUGACGGUACCUGCAGAAGAAGCGCCGGCUAACUACGUGCCAGCAGCCGCGGUAAUACGUAGGGCGCAAGCGUUGUCCGGAAUUAUUGGGCGUAAAGAGCUCGUAGGCGGCUUGUCACGUCGGUUGUGAAAGCCCGGGGCUUAACCCCGGGUCUGCAGUCGAUACGGGCAGGCUAGAGUGUGGUAGGGGAGAUCGGAAUUCCUGGUGUAGCGGUGAAAUGCGCAGAUAUCAGGAGGAACACCGGUGGCGAAGGCGGAUCUCUGGGCCAUUACUGACGCUGAGGAGCGAAAGCGUGGGGAGCGAACAGGAUUAGAUACCCUGGUAGUCCACGCCGUAAACGGUGGGAACUAGGUGUUGGCGACAUUCCACGUCGUCGGUGCCGCAGCUAACGCAUUAAGUCCCCGCCUGGGGAGUACGGCCGCAAGGCUAAAACUCAAAGGAAUUGACGG
This 891-nucleotide ribosomal RNA is filed under the name Streptomyces sp. Its description in RNAcentral is "bacterial SSU rRNA". It matches the Rfam family "Bacterial small subunit ribosomal RNA", at positions 8 to 916 of the family's 1533-position model. Lineage: Bacteria; Bacillati; Actinomycetota; Actinomycetes; Kitasatosporales; Streptomycetaceae. The record is from RNAcentral.